GUGUCAGCCGCCGCGGUAAUACAGAGGGUGCGAGCGUUAAUCGGAAUUACUGGGCGUAAAGGGCGCGUAGGCGGUCAUUUGAGUGUGAUGUGAAAGCCCUGGGCUUAACCUAGGAAGUGCAUCGCAAACUGGAUGACUGGAGUACUGUAGAGGGUAGCGGAAUUUCCGGUGUAGCGGUGAAAUGCGUAGAGAUCGGAAGGAACGUCAAUGGCGAAGGCAGCUACCUGGACAGAUACUGACGCUGAGGCGCGAGAGCGUGGGGAGCAAACAGGAUUAGAUACCCUGGUAGUCC
RNAcentral lists this ribosomal RNA (292 nucleotides) under uncultured bacterium. RNAcentral describes it as "partial 16S ribosomal RNA". It matches the Rfam family "Bacterial small subunit ribosomal RNA", at positions 505 to 796 of the family's 1533-position model. The record is from RNAcentral.